CUUAGCAGCAUAUGUUUAUUCCUUUUGCUUUCUCACUACAAUUUCUAUUGCUAAGUCGAAUUAGUCGCAUUUUCGGCUGUGCAGAGCAGCAAAACGAACUACGACUGCGACGGCGACGGCGACGCCAACGGCGACUGAGGCAGCGUGUCGACGUCAAUGGGCACCCAACAAGUUAGCUUAGCUAGGAGCGCCAGCGUCGCUCUGCUGCUGCGACAGCGCGAGUAGCGGCUCGCGAGUGUCGACGCCAAUGUCUUCUAUGCGCUCUGCUUCGCCCGCUCAGCCAACGUCCGUUCGUGCGCUGUGCGCUCAGAUUGCAUUUAACUCUUGCCGCGUGCACAACGAACGAAGCGCGAUAACAAACGGAAAAACGGCCGCCUCGCGUUGGCUGGGGAGUUCCGCUCUCUUGCUCUCUCUCUCUCUCGCUCGCUCUCCUGGGCGCUCGCGUGCUUAGCUUUUUGUGUGUUUCGUUGAUUGUUUUGUUUUGUUUAUUCGCUUUUGGCUUUUGGAAAAUGCAAAAGACGCGAACUGCAGCUGCAUCAACGUUCAAUUUCGUUUCGGGUUUUCCUCUUUGUGUGCACAACAAUGCAUCGAAAAGUGCCCAAUAAAUUAUAAAAAUGUGAAAAAGAGAGAACUGAAUUACGUACUCAACAUAUCAAAUAAAAACC
Drosophila navojoa is the source of this 665-nucleotide long non-coding RNA. NCBI's taxonomy places the organism in Eukaryota, Metazoa, Arthropoda, Insecta, Diptera, Drosophilidae. The record is from RefSeq and is a predicted model, not a curated record.